UUAUCUCUGUAGAGUCUGCAUAUCAAUAAGCGGAGGAAAAGAAACUAACAAGGAUUCCCUUAGUAACGGCGAGUGAAGCGGGAAGAGCUCAGAUUUGAAAUCUUCAAGGUUUUACCUUGACGAAUUGUAGUUUAAAGAAGUGUUUUCUGUUGGAGUUUUGGUAAAAGUUCUUUGGAAUAGGACAUCAUAGAGGGUGAGAAUCCCGUAUUUGAUCCAUCUUUCCUAGCUUUGUGAUACACUUUCAAAGAGUCGGAUUGUUUGGGAAUGCAGUCCAAAAUGGGUGGUAAAUUUCAUCUAAAGCUAAAUAUUGGCGAGAGACCGAUAGCGAACAAGUACCGUGAGGGAAAGAUGAAAAGAACUUUGAAAAGAGAGUUAAACAGUACGUGAAAUUGUCAAAAGGGAAGCGUUUGACACCAGUGUUGUUUUUCCGAAAAUCAAUUAAGAAUGUUUUAUUUUCUGAGGAGUUAUGACUUCAUCGGCUUCCUUCUCUCUUCACGAAACUUUUGUAAUGCACUUUUCGGUUAACAAGUCAACAUCAAUUUCUUUUGUUGUAAAAGAGUAUUCGGAAGGUGGCUUUCUUUUCGGAGAAAGUGUUUAUAGCCCUAUACUUCUACAAUCGGAGAGAUUGAGGUCUGCAGCGUAGAUCCUUCGGGGUUAGAUACAUUUGUGCUAAGUUAUAGCUUUUCAUAGACAACUUGUUGACUAUGUUUAGUCUUGUAGCUUACUCGCUUAUGCUAUUUUACCUACGCUUAGGAUGUUGAGUAGCGACAUACGCAC
RNAcentral lists this ribosomal RNA (777 nucleotides) under uncultured Neocallimastigales. RNAcentral's name for it is "partial large subunit ribosomal RNA". It matches the Rfam family "Eukaryotic large subunit ribosomal RNA", at positions 24 to 649 of the family's 3401-position model. Lineage: Eukaryota; Fungi; Neocallimastigomycota; Neocallimastigomycetes; Neocallimastigales. The record is from RNAcentral.